Molecule: unclassified non-coding RNA, 376 nt
Filed under: uncultured fungus
Lineage: Eukaryota; Fungi
Description: sequence contains ITS1
Rfam family: 5.8S ribosomal RNA (bases 1-106)
Source: RNAcentral
UGAAAUGCGAAACGUAAUGCGAUUUGCACAAUCUGUGAGUCAUCGAGUCUUUGAACGCACUUGGCACCCAGUAGGCCUUCUACUGGGUAUACCUGUUUGAGCAUCAUAAACACUAUAUUCUUUAUUGAAUGAUCUGGGCGUCAACCGCAUGUGGGUUGUCGCCUCAAAGUGAUAGGUACGGGUUGUGGCGAGAGUCGCGGCUCUUUGUUUGGUAGCAGGACUGUGGUCUUGACAGAGCAAGGAGCUGGCGAAAGCAGCCAUAGCGCAACUGUACCGGAAGUGGCGGAGUGAGGAGCCCUCACAGGCACCCCCCACAUACCACCACAACACCAUCAUAUAUGAUCUCAAAUCAGGCAAGACUACCCGCUGAACUUAA